CGAACGGACGAGAAGCUUGCUUCUCUGAUGUUAGCGGCGGACGGGUGAGUAACACGUGGAUAACCUACCUAUAAGACUGGGAUAACUUCGGGAAACCGGAGCUAAUACCGGAUAAUAUUUUGAACCGCAUGGUUCAAAAGUGAAAGACGGUCUUGCUGUCACUUAUAGAUGGAUCCGCGCUGCAUUAGCUAGUUGGUAAGGUAACGGCUUACCAAGGCAACGAUGCAUAGCCGACCUGAGAGGGUGAUCGGCCACACUGGAACUGAGACACGGUCCAGACUCCUACGGGAGGCAGCAGUAGGGAAUCUUCCGCAAUGGGCGAAAGCCUGACGGAGCAACGCCGCGUGAGUGAUGAAGGUCUUCGGAUCGUAAAACUCUGUUAUUAGGGAAGAACAUAUGUGUAAGUAACUGUGCACAUCUUGACGGUACCUAAUCAGAAAGCCACGGCUAACUACGUGCCAGCAGCCGCGGUAAUACGUAGGUGGCAAGCGUUAUCCGGAAUUAUUGGGCGUAAAGCGCGCGUAGGCGGUUUUUUAAGUCUGAUGUGAAAGCCCACGGCUCAACCGUGGAGGGUCAUUGGAAACUGGAAAACUUGAGUGCAGAAGAGGAAAGUGGAAUUCCAUGUGUAGCGGUGAAAUGCGCAGAGAUAUGGAGGAACACCAGUGGCGAAGGCGACUUUCUGGUCUGUAACUGACGCUGAUGUGCGAAAGCGUGGGGAUCAAACAGGAUUAGAUAACCUGGUAGUCCACGCCGUAAACGAUGAGUGCUAAGUGUUAGGGGGUUUCCGCCCCUUAGUGCUGCAGCUAAC
Molecule: ribosomal RNA, 808 nt
Filed under: uncultured Staphylococcus sp.
Lineage: Bacteria; Bacillati; Bacillota; Bacilli; Caryophanales; Staphylococcaceae
Description: bacterial SSU rRNA
Rfam family: Bacterial small subunit ribosomal RNA
Source: RNAcentral